RNAcentral lists this ribosomal RNA (303 nucleotides) under uncultured bacterium. RNAcentral describes it as "bacterial SSU rRNA". It matches the Rfam family "Bacterial small subunit ribosomal RNA", at positions 497 to 793 of the family's 1533-position model. The record is from RNAcentral.
CUAACUCCCGUGCCAGCAGCCGCGGUAAUACGGAGGGUGCGAGCGUUAAUCGGUAAUUACUGGGACGUAAAAGCGCAUGCAGGUCGGUUUGUUAAGUCAGAUGUGAAAGCCCCGGGGCUCAACCUCGGAAUUGCAUUUGAAAACUGGCAGGCUAGAGUCUUGUAGAGGGGGUAGAAUUUCAGGUGUAGCGGUGAAAUGCGUAGAGAUCUGAAGGAAUACCAGUGGCGAAGGCGGCCCCCUGGACAAAGACUGACGCUCAGAUGCGAAAGCGUGGGGAGCAAACAGGAUUAGAUACCCUGGUAG